Molecule: transfer RNA, 90 nt
Filed under: Candidatus Tayloriibacteriota bacterium
Lineage: Bacteria; Candidatus Tayloriibacteriota
Description: tRNA-Ser
Rfam family: tRNA
About the family: Transfer RNA (tRNA) molecules are approximately 80 nucleotides in length. Their secondary structure includes four short double-helical elements and three loops (D, anti-codon, and T loops).
Source: RNAcentral
GGAGAGAUGGCCGAGUGGCUUAAGGCAGCGGUUUACUAAACCGCCGUUCCUUUAUUGGAACCGUGAGUUCGAAUCUCACUCUCUCCGCAA